UACAGAGGUCCCAAGCGUUGUUCGGAUUCACUGGGCGUAAAGGGUGCGUAGGUGGUUGGAUAAGUUUGAUGUGAAAUCUUCGAGCUCAACUCGGAAACGGCAUUAAAUACUAUCUAGCUGGAGGAUUGGAAGGGAGACUGGAAUUCUUGGUGUAGCAGUGAAAUGCGUAGAUAUCAAGAGGAACACCAGUGGCGAAGGCGAGUCUCUGGACAAUUCCUGACACUGAGGCACGAAAGCUAGGGGAG
RNAcentral lists this ribosomal RNA (245 nucleotides) under uncultured bacterium. RNAcentral's name for it is "partial 16S ribosomal RNA". It matches the Rfam family "Bacterial small subunit ribosomal RNA", at positions 524 to 768 of the family's 1533-position model. The record is from RNAcentral.